Non-coding RNA from Cricetulus griseus (Chinese hamster), 488 nucleotides. The record is from RefSeq and is a predicted model, not a curated record. Lineage: Eukaryota; Metazoa; Chordata; Mammalia; Rodentia; Cricetidae.
UUUUUCUAAUCAAGUUUGUGUGGUCCUGCAAAUAAAUAAAUAAAGAAAAAGAUUUCAUGGAGAAAAGAAUAAUUAGCUUCACAAGCUGUAUCCAGAUUUUGCUGAGAAAAAUGGGGCUCCCAAAGAAAAUAUUUUCCAGUUUACUUUUUUAGACUUCCCAGAGGAAUUUGGGCUCUUCCCUACUUUAUUCCCACCCCAAGAGAACUUCAUGCCACAAGCAAGAUGGCACUGCUCUUGGUGCUAGGUAUACAGUAAUAAAACAAAGUUCCUGGGACUGGAGAGAUGCCUCAGUGGAUAGGAGCUGUUGCUGCCCUUCAAGAGGAUCAGAGUUCGGCUCCCAGCACACCAUGCGCUCACAACUGCCUAUUCUUCCAGCUCCAAGGGAUCCAGUGCCCUCUUCUGGCCUGAUUGGCAUCUACACUCACGUGCAUACCUCCCACCCCUGACAUAUGUAUAGUUAAAAAUAAAACCAUAAAAAUAAUUAUAAA